Molecule: long non-coding RNA, 825 nt
Filed under: Olea europaea (common olive)
Lineage: Eukaryota; Viridiplantae; Streptophyta; Magnoliopsida; Lamiales; Oleaceae
Description: long non-coding RNA (OEUR_LNC012963)
Source: RNAcentral
CGGACGGUGCGCUCUUAAACCCUUUGAUUUGAGAUUUUUCCAAUCCCUCGAAAUCCCUGGAGUGCAUCAGCGAUUUGGAAGAAAAUUUUCAAGAAUCAUGAUUGAAAACAGAUUAACUUCACUUCUGAGGAAAACAAAAUCCUUCAGUAAAAGUUUCUCGUCCUCAAAUCCUAGGGAAUGGAAAACAUUUUCCACUGUAAAUGGAUUAGCAACUGAAUCUUCAUUGUUAAUCCAAUCAAGAUUUCACUCUUCAUUUCCUAACCUUAUUCCUGCUUCCAGAAGUUCCGUUUCACGAAAUUUUCUUAUCCAUGGUUUUAGAAGCUUUCAUCGUAACAAUAACAAGGUAUUUGGAGUUUUUAUUUAUCUUUUUAUUGUCAUUUCAAAAGAUUUUUUAGUAUGAAAAUGCGUAGAUAACUUCUAUUAAAACAAGACAAGAUGAAAUAUUAACAGCCAAAGUUCAAGUUUCGCUUAUCAUUUAUGAAAAUAAUGCACCACACCUUUAAUUAAAAAAAUGAAUGCUGUCUGCACGUUCACAUGAGGGAACAUAUUUGAAGAUUUUAAUGGCUUAAGCUUUUAGAUAAAAUGAUAUUGAGCUUUGCCAAGCAUGUUCUUAGCAUGUGCAGUUGUAGUUAUAUUGCUUGAUAUUUGUGGUGUGGUUCAUCAGUAGACUACAUCACUUGAAGUUGUUUGUUUUGGUUAUAUUUCAAACAUUGUUCUUUAGCCUCCGUCUGGAUACAAAUUUAUAAAUGGUUAAUAAAUUCAUUCAAAUCAAACAUUAUUUUAACUAAAUGUUCAUAAAUACUACUCAUUAUUAUCCACACAUUU